GGUGAGUAAUGUCUGGGAAACUGCCUGAUGGAGGGGGAUAACUACUGGAAACGGUAGCUAAUACCGCAUAACGUCGCAAGACCAAAGAGGGGGACCUUCGGGCCUCUUGCCAUCGGAUGUGCCCAGAUGGGAUUAGCUAGUAGGUGGGGUAACGGCUCACCUAGGCGACGAUCCCUAGCUGGUCUGAGAGGAUGACCAGCCACACUGGAACUGAGACACGGUCCAGACUCCUACGGGAGGCAGCAGUGGGGAAUAUUGCACAAUGGGCGCAAGCCUGAUGCAGCCAUGCCGCGUGUAUGAAGAAGGCCUUCGGGUUGUAAAGUACUUUCAGCGGGGAGGAAGGGAGUAAAGUUAAUACCUUUGCUCAUUGAC
This 372-nucleotide ribosomal RNA is filed under the name Shigella flexneri. RNAcentral describes it as "bacterial SSU rRNA". It matches the Rfam family "Bacterial small subunit ribosomal RNA", at positions 105 to 473 of the family's 1533-position model. The record is from RNAcentral. Lineage: Bacteria; Pseudomonadati; Pseudomonadota; Gammaproteobacteria; Enterobacterales; Enterobacteriaceae.